This is a long non-coding RNA of Gadus macrocephalus (Pacific cod), 1734 nucleotides long. RefSeq lists it as uncharacterized. The transcript has 2 exons. Lineage: Eukaryota; Metazoa; Chordata; Actinopteri; Gadiformes; Gadidae. The record is from RefSeq and is a predicted model, not a curated record.
UGUCUAAGGUGUUUUGUUGUCAGUAGGCUACUCAAUGGCCGCCUUGCUCAUUCAUGUUUUGUGAUGACAAGCAAACCAUAUACGAUCCAUAUAAAUCGUCAGAAAUAUUGUCUGUGUGUGAAAUGUGUGUAAAAUGAUCAUAUUUGUUACGUGUAGACUAUAAUAUUAUGAAUAUAAUUAGCCAUGGUGGCUAUGAAGUCUCCGUGUGUAGCGUUAGCAUUUUAGCAUUAGUUUAACCAAGGAUAGGUUCAGCUAGUUAUUUGCUGACCAGUUUUCUUCCGAUCAGCGACAUAUUAUUAACAUUAUGUAUAUGCUAAGUGUCAAAUAUAGUUGAUGGAAAGGUGGUAGUGAGAGGUAGAUGCAACCGCUCGAUGAGGAGGAAUGAGGAGCCCCACAUACUACAUGUUUCUGCUGAGUUAGGGCCCGUUGGCCCAAGUCUGUUAGUUUUGAUAGUCUGUCUGGACUAACAACUGCAGUUGCAGUUUUCCUCUUCUUCUGAAGUUCAGAUCAUUUUCAUUGUUCUUUCUUACAAACAGUAGCGUGCUUAAGACUUGGCCCACCUAGCUUGCUGCAAUGUUGUGGCUGUACAGACCUAUGUAUUUUUCUUCCUCUUCAUUAAGGCACAAGCCGUAAAUAAAGGAAAUUUGUUGAGUGCAUUAAAAGGACAAACAUCUAGUUCAUGUUAUAACAUUGCUAAAACAACAGAUGUAAUGGUGGCCCAAGAGUUUUGCACGGAACUGUACAUGGCUUUUCUGCGGUUGCAGGCUCCUUGCCAGUUUCCAAUGGCCUUAUAUCAAGGUCCUACCUACUAAGUUCAGUAACUCAAUUCUUAUGGUGUUCACAGAUCACCCUGGAGGCUGUUGGACAACUGGGUCUCUCAGAGCUGUAGCUUUGCUGCGGGCAAAGGCUUCUGUAGCCAUAUAACCGCUCUGCUGUUCCAGACAGCGCAUUAUGUGCAGCUGGGCCUUGAUGUGGUUCCACCUUCCCUGGCCUGUACCAGUCAACCACAGAUGUGGCAUCGACCUCGAACCCACGUGUGCUGUUGUGUCCUCUGUUCAAAUCAUACACUUCAGUAUUUGUCUAGAGUAUAUGAGCAUUUCCUGUAUUGUUGUUCGCCUCAGGGAAUCCAUCCAGAGGCUGUGAGUGACCUGGUGGUGAAGAAACCCAAGUCGGUGGGGAAGACUGGAGUCAAGUCCACACUCUACAGAGCGUAUGCUGAGGGAAUAUCCAGCUUGGAGUUGGUACCAUCUCAGCUGUGCUGACCUGGAAGAUGUCAGCAAUGACUUGUUCUUUAAGGCCAGUUGCUACUCUACAACAGUAGAUGAAAAACUCAUCAAUGGCUGGAAUCUUCCUUGAAGGGCUUGGUGUUGGAAUCGCCUCUUGUCCAAUCCUCUGUGCUUUGCUCCAAUAAAGAAUAUAUUGUGUUGAGGGGCAAAACAGACUCCCAAAACACUUGAAACACUUCUUGAGAUGGAAACCGAGUAUAAUAUGUCAUGGUCUGAUCAGACACACAAAAUCUGUUGAGGACAGUUUGUGGCCCCAUGGACAUUUCUUGCAGCCUUGCCUCCAGCUCAGCAAUAUACUCCAGGGCAUCAUCCAGUGCACCUACAAAAAAAGAAGACAAAUCAGUCUUCAUUACCAUUCAUUCGUAUUCACCCUUUCUUUUUAUUGUAUUGUUAUUCUGUAUACUUAAGUUUAUUUAUAUUUAUUAUUAUUAAAUUUAUUUGUACUGUU